GCAACGGUGUGGCAAGCAGCGGGGGGAAUAUGAAGGGGUCAAACGUGGUCCGGAAUGAUUGGGAGUAAAGGGCGCGUAGGGGGCCAGGUAAGUGAGAGGUGAAAGCUCUGGGCUAAACCCAGGAAUUGCAUGUCAUACUGCUUGGCUUGAGUUCGGUAGAGGAGGGCGGAAUUCCAGAAGUAGCGGUGAAAUGCGUAGAUAUCUGGAGGAACACCCGUGGCGAAGGCGGCUCUCUGGUCCGAUACUGACGCUGAGGCGCGAAAGGUAGGGGAGCAAACAGGAUUAGAUACCCGUGUAGUC
Molecule: ribosomal RNA, 300 nt
Filed under: uncultured Syntrophus sp.
Lineage: Bacteria; Pseudomonadati; Thermodesulfobacteriota; Syntrophia; Syntrophales; Syntrophaceae
Description: bacterial SSU rRNA
Rfam family: Bacterial small subunit ribosomal RNA
Source: RNAcentral